CCUACGGGAGGCAGCAGUAGGGAAUCUUUCACAAUGGGCGAAAGCCUGAUGGAGCAACGCCGCGUGCAGGAUGAAGGCCUUCGGGUUGUAAACUGCUUUUAUAAGCGAGAAAUAUGAUGGUAACUUAUGAAUAAGGAUCGGCUAACUACGUGCCAGCAGCCGCGGUCAUACGUAGGAUCCGAGCAUUAUCCGGAGUAACUGGGUGUAAAGAGUUGCGUAGGUGGCAUAAUAAGUAGCUAGUGAAAUCUGGUGGCUCAACCAUUCAGACUAUUAGCUAAACUGUUAAGCUCGAGACCGUUAGGGGUAACUGGAAUUUCUAGUGUAGGAGUGAAAUCCGUAGAUAUUAGAAGGAACACCAAUAGCGUAGGCAGGUUGCUGGGACGGUUCUGACACUAAGGCACGAAAGCGUAGGGAGCAAACGGGAUUAGAUACCCGAGUAGUC
Molecule: ribosomal RNA, 442 nt
Filed under: uncultured bacterium
Lineage: Bacteria
Description: partial 16S ribosomal RNA
Rfam family: Bacterial small subunit ribosomal RNA
Source: RNAcentral